RNAcentral lists this ribosomal RNA (413 nucleotides) under uncultured Rhizophagus. Its description in RNAcentral is "partial 28S ribosomal RNA". Lineage: Eukaryota; Fungi; Glomeromycota; Glomeromycetes; Glomerales; Glomeraceae. The record is from RNAcentral.
GAGAGUUAAACAGUACGUGAAAUUGUUGAAAGGGAAACGAUUGAAGCCAGUCGUACCUUCGGGUAAUCAGCCUUUCGGGUGCGAUUCUGUGGAGUUUGAGGAGCUUAACACCUUCAUGCUUUUGCAUAUUCGUGCUCUUGGGUGUACUUGCCCGUGUGGUUGGUUAACAUCAAUUUCGGGCACCAUAAAAUGGCUGGAGGAAUGUAGCUUCGAUCUUGUAUUGAAGUGUUAUAGCCUUCGGUAGAUGUGGUGAUCGAGAUUGAGGAUUGCAACGGAUACCUUUCGGGGCUACCUGUCUGAUCUCUGAUCGUUGCUUUGGUGCUGAAAGCGUGCUUAUAGUUAUCAAAGUCGAUGGUCAAUAGGUUAGAAUGGGUUAAAUUCGUUAAGGAUGUUGACGUAAUGGCUUUAAACGA